GAGUUUGAUCCUGGCUCAGGAUGAACGCUAGCGGCAGGCCUAACACAUGCAAGUCGAGGGGUAACAGAAAAGCUUGCUUUUGCUGACGACCGGCGCACGGGUGCGUAACGCGUAUGCAACCUACCUCAUACUGGAGGAUAGCCCCUGGAAACGGGGAUUAAUACUCCAUAGUAUCACAAUUUCGCAUGUUAUUGUGAUUAAAGUUUUUCGGUAUGAGAUGGGCAUGCGUCCCAUUAGCUUGUUGGUGAGGUAACGGCUCACCAAGGCAACGAUGGGUAGGGGGCCUGAGAGGGUGGUCCCCCACACUGGUACUGAGACACGGACCAGACUCCUACGGGAGGCAGCAGUGAGGAAUAUUGGUCAAUGGAGGAAACUCUGAACCAGCCAUGCCGCGUGAAGGAUGACGGCCCUAUGGGUUGUAAACUUCUUUUAUAGAGGAAGAAACUUGUCUACGUGUAGACAACUGACGGUACUCUACGAAUAAGGAUCGGCUAACUCCGUGCCAGCAGCCGCGGUAAUACGGAGGAUCCAAGCGUUAUCCGGAUUCAUUGGGUUUAAAGGGUCCGUAGGCGGAUUUUUAAGUCAGUGGUGAAAGCCGACAGCUCAACUGUCGAACUGCCAUUGAUACUGGAAAUCUUGAGUACAAAUGAAGUAGGCGGAAUGAGUCAUGUAGCGGUGAAAUGCAUAGAUAUGACUCAGAACACCGAUUGCGAGGCAGCUUACUAACAUGUAACUGACGCUGAGGGACGAAAGCGUGGGGAGCGAACAGGAUUAGAUACCUUGGUAGUCCACGCCGUAAACGAUGAUUACUCGCUAUUGGCGAUACACUGUCAGUGGCUAAGCGAAAGUG
Molecule: ribosomal RNA, 850 nt
Filed under: uncultured bacterium
Lineage: Bacteria
Description: bacterial SSU rRNA
Rfam family: Bacterial small subunit ribosomal RNA
Source: RNAcentral